CAAAUAAUUUAUUGCCGUAAGAUGGGACUGCGGCCUAUCAGUUUGUUGGUGAGGUAAUGGCCCACCAAGACUAUUGCAGGUACGGGCUCUGAGAGGAGUAGCCCGGAGAUGGGUACUGAGACACGGACCCAGGCCCUAUGGGGCGCAGCAGGCGAGAAAACUUUGCAAUGUGCGAAAGCACGACAAGGUUAAUCCGAGUGGUUUCUGCUAAAGGAACCUUUUGUCAGUCCUAGAAACACUAACGAAUAAGGGGUGGGCAAGUUCUGGUGUCAGCCGCCGCGGUAAAACCAGCACCUCAAGUGGUCAGGAUGAUUAUUGGGCCUAAAGCAUCCGUAGCCUGCUUUGUCAGUUUUCGGUUAAAUCCAUAUGCUCAACGUAUGGGCUGCCGGGAAUACUGCAAAGCUAGGGAGUGGGAGAGGUAGACGGUACUCGGUAGGAAGGGGUAAAAUCCUUUGAUNUAUUGAUGACCACCUGUGGCGAAGGCGGUCUACCAGAACACGUCCGACGGUGAGGGAUGAAAGCUGGGGGAGCAAACCGGAUUAGAUACCCGGGUAGUCCCAGCUGUAAACUAUGCAAACUCGGUGAUGCAUUGGCUUGAUGCCAAUGCAGUGCCGCAGGGAA
RNAcentral lists this ribosomal RNA (621 nucleotides) under uncultured archaeon. RNAcentral describes it as "bacterial SSU rRNA". It matches the Rfam family "Archaeal small subunit ribosomal RNA", at positions 187 to 810 of the family's 1478-position model. The record is from RNAcentral.